GACGAACGCUGGCGGCGUGCCUAAUACAUGCAAGUAGAACGCUGAAGGAGGAGCUUGCUUCUCUGGAUGAGUUGCGAACGGGUGAGUAACGCGUAGGUAACCUGCCUGGUAGCGGGGGAUAACUAUUGGAAACGAUAGCUAAUACCGCAUAAGAGUAGAUGUCGCAUGACAUUUGCUUAAAAGGUGCAAUUGCAUCACUACCAGAUGGACCUGCGUUGUAUUAGCUAGUUGGUGAGGUAACGGCUCACCAAGGCAACGAUACAUAGCCGACCUGAGAGGGUGAUCGGCCACACUGGGACUGAGACACGGCCCAGACUCCUACGGGAGGCAGCAGUAGGGAAUCUUCGGCAAUGGACGGAAGUCUGACCGAGCAACGCCGCGGGAGUGAAGAAGGGUUUCGGAUCGUAAAGCUCUGUUGUAAGAGAAGAACGAGUGUGAGAGUGGAAAGUUCACACUGUGACGGUAUCUUACCAGAAAGGGACGGCUAACUACGUG
RNAcentral lists this ribosomal RNA (495 nucleotides) under uncultured bacterium. RNAcentral's name for it is "partial 16S ribosomal RNA". It matches the Rfam family "Bacterial small subunit ribosomal RNA", at positions 28 to 507 of the family's 1533-position model. The record is from RNAcentral.